This 497-nucleotide ribosomal RNA is filed under the name uncultured bacterium. Its description in RNAcentral is "partial 16S ribosomal RNA". It matches the Rfam family "Bacterial small subunit ribosomal RNA", at positions 28 to 507 of the family's 1533-position model. The record is from RNAcentral.
GAUGAACGCUGGCGGCGUGCCUAAUACAUGCAAGUCGAGCGAACGGACGAGAAGCUUGCUUCUCUGAUGUUAGCGGCGGACGGGUGAGUAACACGUGGAUAACCUACCUAUAAGACUGGGAUAACUUCGGGAAACCGGAGCUAAUACCGGAUAAUAUUUUGAACCGCAUGGUUCAAAAGUGAAAGGCGGUCUUGCUGUCACUUAUAGAUGGAUCCGCGCUGCAUUAGCUAGUUGGUAAGGUAACGGCUUACCAAGGCAACGAUGCAUAGCCGACCUGAGAGGGUGAUCGGCCACUCUGGAACUGAGACACGGUCCAGACUCCUUCGGGAGGCAGCAGUAUGGAAUCUUCCGCAGUGGGCGAAAGCCUGACGGAGCGACGCCGCGUGAGUGAUGAAGGUCUUCGGAUCGUAAAACUCUGUUAUUAGGGAAGAACAUAUGUGUAAGUAACUGUGCACAUCUUGACGGUACCUAAUCAGAGAGCCACGGCUAACUACGGA